RNAcentral lists this ribosomal RNA (779 nucleotides) under uncultured bacterium. RNAcentral describes it as "bacterial SSU rRNA". It matches the Rfam family "Bacterial small subunit ribosomal RNA", at positions 95 to 896 of the family's 1533-position model. The record is from RNAcentral.
GCGGCGAACGGGUGAGUAACACGUGGGUGAUCUGCCUGGAAGCCUGGGACAACAGCUGGAAACGGCUGCUAAUACCGGAUGAAGUCUAUCAUUCGUUUGAUAGACCAAAGAAUUUCGCUUCCAGAUGAGCCCGCGGCCCAUUAGCUAGUUGGUGGGGUAAGGGCCUACCAAGGCGACGAUGGGUAGCCGGUCUGAGAGGAUGGUCGGCCACACUGGAACUGAGACACGGUCCAGACUCCUACGGGAGGCAGCAGUGGGGAAUUUUGCGCAAUGGGCGAAAGCCUGACGCAGCGACGCCGCGUGAGUGACGAAGGCCUUCGGGUUGUAAAGCUCUGUUGAGGGGGAAGAUAAUGACGGUACCCCUUAAGAAAGCCCCGGCUAACUACGUGCCAGCAGCCGCGGUAAGACGUAGGGGGCGAGCGUUGUCCGGAAUUACUGGGUGUAAAGGGCGUGUAGGCGGCUAAGUAAGUCAGCUGUGAAAUUCCCCGGCUCAACUGGGGGCCUGCAGUUGAAACUACUUAGCUUGAGUGCAGGAGAGGAAGGUGGAAUUCCCAGUGUAGCGGUGAAAUGCGUAGAUAUUGGGAGGAACACCGGUGGCGAAGGCGGCCUUCUGGCCUGUAACUGACGCUGAGGCGCGAAAGCUAGGGGAGCAAACAGGAUUAGAUACCCUGGUAGUCCUAGCUGUAAACGCUGGGUACUAGGUGUAGGGGGUUUAGACGCCCUCUGUGCCGCAGUUAACGCAUUAAGUACCCCGCCUGGGGAGUACGAUCGCAAGGUUG